Molecule: small nuclear RNA, 156 nt
Organism: Penaeus monodon (black tiger shrimp)
Lineage: Eukaryota; Metazoa; Arthropoda; Malacostraca; Decapoda; Penaeidae
Product: U1 spliceosomal RNA
Exons: 1
Source: RefSeq, a predicted model, not a curated record
AUAUUACCCGGCCGGAGAUACCGGGGUCAUGAAGGGGGUUUUCCAAAGGGGAGGCUACCCUUGCACUCCGGGGGCGCGCCCUUGCGAUUAACCCAAAAGGGUUUAACUCGAGUGCGCAAAUUUUUUUUAUGGGGGACUGCGUUGCGCUAUCCCCCU